Molecule: non-coding RNA, 412 nt
Organism: Pelobates cultripes (western spadefoot toad)
Lineage: Eukaryota; Metazoa; Chordata; Amphibia; Anura; Pelobatidae
Source: the annotation of a GenBank genome assembly
CCCCAGUUUAACAAAUUUUAUUACAGUACAAGAAAGAUAAAGGUAAAAGAUUUCAUUUUCUUUAUUUCUCCAUUUGCUUCUCUCUAUAUUUUUACUUACAGAUUCACAGCCCAUAGAAGUAGGGUUUAGGCACAGAGAUAAGAAGGCAUUGUUCUGCAUGUCUUGUACCAGAGAAACCAACCUAUGUGUAUCCCUCCUGCUUGAAUUAAGAAACAGCCAGAAUGAUUUAUUGCAAAGCUUUGGACAGGCAAUCUUAGGAUAGAGAAAGAGAAUGGAUACAUUUUAUUUAUACAAAGCCAACAUAAAGUGUUUGGGAAGUUUAACCUGUUAAGCAUGUGCUUACAAACAGGGGUAUACAGGACAGGUGUGUCUAGCAGCAAGUUGCAAGUUUAACAGCCAUUGAAGAUGAUUG